This is a long non-coding RNA of Ictalurus punctatus (channel catfish), 1744 nucleotides long. NCBI's taxonomy places the organism in Eukaryota, Metazoa, Chordata, Actinopteri, Siluriformes, Ictaluridae. The record is from Ensembl.
CUCGUCAGCGGUGUGAGUGAGCGUCGGGCUGACGGCCAUUAGGAGCAUGGCGCAGCGAUGGAUGAUGGUGUUGCAGGUGGCGGUGUAGAGGUCUUGCCCGUCCUGUAAGGGGACGCUGUUCCUGCGCUCCUGGCCAGGCUGAACGUGCUCGUCCGGGACACCGACACCUGCAACGUCGCCGUCGGUAACAGUGUAAACCAAGAGAUUACUCCAUUCCUAAUUAUUUUUAAAACUUUUUUUUUUUUUUUUACCUCUUCAAACAGACAGAGCGCUGCUUCAUACAGAGAGCACAGACCGUCCGGGGUCCGCGUCGGCUCCCUCCACUGACUCCUGUCUGCAGACGAACCCUGGACCAACGAUCGUCUCAUCUGCAUGAGGAUGUUCAUGAAGCAGUCGUAUCCCAUCAGGCCUUCCUGGUUCUGGUUCUGCUCCAGGUUGCUGACUCCAGCCGAGGCGGCCAGCGCCAUCUCCACCCACUCCAGCAGAUAACGCAGUGAUCCUCUCUGCGCCGCUAAACCCAGGAGGAGCUCGCAGGCCAGUCUCCGCCCCACCACGUCCGCGCCGGACUGGCAGGCGAUCACGCCCUUCAGGAAGGCGGUGACCUGCACCAGGCAGUCUAAGCCCAUGGGCGGGAUCUUGCUCUCGUUGGCUAGCGAUAACGGCGGCAGCGAGCCCACCACCUCGAUCGCCGUGGUGAUGACGUCGUUGCAGAGGCUGAGGCCGGGCGUGGCGGUGGGCAGGGCCCAGCUCUGACGCAGCAGCGCGAAGAGUAAGCUCAGACCCGUGCGCACGCCCAUCUCGAUUAGCGCGUCCGUACUCGAGCGCGGCCGCUCGCUCGCCGCCUGCAGCUCAGACGAGUUCAGCGCGCUCUCGCCCGAGUGCUGCUGCUGCUUGGCCUUGCCCUUGUCGUGGUACUUGCUCGAGAGAGCGUAAAAGAUGCGCUGCAGCACCAGAAGGCGUUUGCGCAGAGCGCUCGCGAAAGGAGAGUCCGAGCACACGGUUUUGGCCAAAGCCAGCUGACUGGCCAGCAGCGCGUCCAGGUAGUGCUCCUGUUCAUCACGCGACAGGCACUCGCGCUCGAAGUCGGGCAGCUGGGGGCCUUUGAGGCACAGAACCUGCUGAGGAAGCAGCACCACCUCUUUAUUAAUCAGGAGCUUGGAGUAGAGAAGAGCCACGCCCUCUCGCGUGGAGAUGGACUCGCUGUCCUCCGAGAUCCAAGAGCUGUUCAGAUGCUCCAACCAUUUCAGCUUCACCGGCGGAAUCAUCGCAGCCAUGACGCUGCCUCAUUCGUUCAUUCACACGCCGUCUCACCUGAGGGCGAAAAAAAACAAAACAUACACAAUCCACUUUAUUCCUUUAUACGAUUCAUUUUUAUCCGUUUGUAGUUACAUUUAAACGUUGUGGCACUUCUGGGAAACAUUUACACGCUCAUUCCCCCACCAGCCUCUUUCUACGUUGUUUUAUUCCUUUUCCACCCCAUCCCCAUCAGCCUUUUUCUUUUUUUUAAUUAUUAAUGAUUGAAAAACGCAUCGGUGACGCUCUAACGGAUCGGACGUGGGACUACGAGUCGGAUUUCUGCGCCGAUAUUGGCCCGGAUUCCAGGAUUUGACCCUCCGGGUUUAUUCCGUGCUGUGGAUGUGGGGGACGUUAUCGGACACGACGCAGGCGUGAGAACAGAAAAUAACCCGUCCUAAAUCACAUCACCAUCAACAUAACGAGAACACAAACGAGAACAUGAAGAUGG